RNAcentral lists this ribosomal RNA (229 nucleotides) under uncultured bacterium. Its description in RNAcentral is "partial 16S ribosomal RNA". It matches the Rfam family "Bacterial small subunit ribosomal RNA", at positions 15 to 225 of the family's 1533-position model. The record is from RNAcentral.
GAUCAUGGCUCGGGAUGAACGCUGGCGGCGUGCCUAACACAUGCAAGUCGAACGAAGCUUGACGGAUGAUUUCUUCGGAAUGAAACCAGAUAUGACUUAGUGGCGGACGGGUGAGUAACACGUGAGCAACCUGCCUUUCAGAGGGGGAUAACGGCUGGAAACGGUCGCUAAUACCGCAUGAUGUGUUCGGAUGGCAUCAUCUGAACAUCAAAGAUUUAUCGCUGAAAGA